This 468-nucleotide ribosomal RNA is filed under the name uncultured bacterium. Its description in RNAcentral is "partial 16S ribosomal RNA". It matches the Rfam family "Bacterial small subunit ribosomal RNA", at positions 28 to 507 of the family's 1533-position model. The record is from RNAcentral.
GACGAACGCUGGCGGCGGGCUUAACACAUGCAAGUCGAACGGAAAAGCCCUGCUUGUGUGGGGUGCUCGAGUGGCGAACGGGUGAGUAACCCGUGAAUAACCUGGCCUGUACUUUGGGAUGACUUCAGGAAACUGGGGCUAAUGCCGGAUAGGAGCUCGUGCUGCAUGGUGGGGGUUGGAACGUUUCGGCGGAUGGGGAUGGACUCGCGGUUUAUCAGCUUGUUGGUGGGGGAGUGGCUUACCAAGGCAUUGACGGGUAGCCGGCCUGAGAGGGUGAACGGCCACAUUGGGACUGAGAGACGGCCCAGACUCCUACGGGAGGCAGCAGUGGGGAAUAUUGCACAAUGGGCGGAAGCCUGAUGCAGCAACGCCGCGUGCGGGAUGACGGCCUUCGGGUUGUAAACCGCUUUCGCCUGUGACGAAGCGUGAGUGACGGUAAUGGGUAAAGAAGCACCGGCUAACUACGUG